RNAcentral lists this long non-coding RNA (1373 nucleotides) under Mus musculus (house mouse). RNAcentral's name for it is "long non-coding RNA chr4:80917389-80918762". Lineage: Eukaryota; Metazoa; Chordata; Mammalia; Rodentia; Muridae. The record is from RNAcentral.
AGGAUCCUGUCAGCAAGCACUUCUUGGCAUCAUUAAUAGUGUUUGGGUUUGGUGUCUGCAUGUGGGAUGUAUCCCCAGGUGGGGCAGUCCCUCGGUGGCCUUUCUUUUAGUCUCUGCUCAUAAUAAUUAAAUCUUAUGAGACAUACUUGCAUAAUGAGUGGCUCUUGCAUUGACAGCAGCUCUAAUGUCACUUUGCUAGAAGCUCAUAGAAGGUAAACAUAUAACUUGAAAACCUUCCACAAACUAAUGUCCGAGCUUGCAUGUGUGAGAAAGACUGAGGACAACUCAGGAAUCAGUUUCCUACUGUGUAAGUCCUGGGCUUUAACUUAGGUUAUCAAACCUGCUAAGCCAUGAUGCUGGUUCAAUAACCUACCUACCUUCCUUCCUUCCUUCCUUCCUUCCUUCCUUCCUUCCUUCCUUCCUUCCUUCUGUCCAUCCUUCCAUCCCUCCUUCCUUCCUUCCUUUUUUUCCUUCUUUCCAUCCUUCUUCCUUCUAUUUUUUUUCUUUCUUUUUGAAGCAGGGUGUCACUGUACAACCCUGGCUGGCCUCAAACUCACAGGUAGUUAUCUGUGCCCCUCAAGUGUUCAUGGUGAAGGAAUGCACUACCACACCCAUCCUAAGAACGUUUUUCUGGAAGAAAAGAAUUUCCUUCCAUGCAGGUUGCAUAACAGGAGCAUGCUACAUUGUUUAAAAAAAGACUACAAGUUGUGUGGGAAUUUUAAACUCAGAAUGUUCAUCUUGUGCUGACAUAAAAAUAUACCUUCUAUCCUCCUUCGACGUGAGCCAUAUUGAAAAGAUGUUUUCCUGCAUUGAGACUUUAGUUGUUAAGGCACAACUAUGGAAUUCAGGUUCAUAUGAAAGUCUUUGGAAUCCAUGACCAUCUGUUAGUAUGAGAUGGAAUCAUUGGGUCCUCCAGAUCCACUGGAACUGAAGUUACAGAUUUGUGAUCCAUCCUGUAGGUUAUGGGAAAGAAAACUCUACAAGAACAAUAAGUAGUCUUAACAGCUGAGCUGUCUACCAUCCCCUUGGUUUUGUUUUUUUUCUUUCAAUGCCAUACUUUUACUAUUCAAAUGGUAGUUCUUUGCUUUGCAAGGGCCUUGGUAGACUUUGGAAGGGGCUCUUAACUUAGGCAGGGUCUGGGAAGGUGGCACAAUGCUUAGUGUUUUCAGAGCUACCCCAUGAACCUGAAUUUAAAGCCUCAGCAGUAAAGCCUGUAACCCCAGCAUGGGGUAGGGAAGAGAGAGGGGGAUCCAUAGAGCUUGCUGGCCCCAUAACCCCAUAGUCUAGCUGGGUUGAUAAGUGCUCUGAGGUGGUGGCAAAGUCUUCCACUCAGCAGUUCAGGAUAACCUGAAUACUGCCAGCAAGAGUAGGUG